This 376-nucleotide ribosomal RNA is filed under the name uncultured organism. Its description in RNAcentral is "partial 16S ribosomal RNA". It matches the Rfam family "Bacterial small subunit ribosomal RNA", at positions 524 to 896 of the family's 1533-position model. The record is from RNAcentral.
CGGGGGGGGGGCAAGCGUUGUUCGGAAUUACUGGGCGUAAAGGGCGCGCAGGCGGCCUGGCAAGUCCUACGUGAAAUCCCACAGCUCAACUGUGGAACUGCGUGGGAUACUGCCCAGGCUUGAGUCCGGGAGAGGAGAGUGGAAUUCCCAGUGUAGCGGUGAAAUGCGUAGAUAUUGGGAGGAACACCGGUGGCGAAGGCGGCUCUCUGGACCGGUACUGACGCUGAGGCGCGAAAGCUAGGGGAGCAAACGGGAUUAGAUACCCCGGUAGUCCUAGCCGUAAACUUUGAGCACUUUGUGUGGCGGGUAUCGACCCCUGCCGUGCAGAAGCUAACGCAUUAAGUGCUCCGCCUGGGGAGUACGGUCGCAAAGGCUG